AACUUCACAAAUUAAUGCUUAAAACACAUUUUUUAUUUAAAAAUAUGUUAAAUUACACAUUGUGAGCUUAAUUAUAAAAUUAUAACUUAAUUAUGGCUUAAUUAUGACUUAAUUAUGACUUAAUUAUGACUUAAUUAUGACUUAAUUAUAUAUUAUAAAUCAUUGUACAUUAAUUAACCUUUUAUAUACAUAAAAAUAAAUUUAUAUAUACAUAUACGUACGUAAUUAUCUAGUAAAUUACACUAAUUUGUAUUAUAUCAAUUUGUUAUAUUUUAGUAAAACAUAAACUUUCUUUUUUAUUUCUAUUUUGACAUUUUUCAUUUAUUUACUCCCUUUUAAUUAUAUGCAGAACAUAACAAAAUUAAAUUAAAAUAGAAAGAAAAGAAUAACACAUUUCUAUACAUUAAGUAUUUGUUUUCUUUUGAGAAAAAUGUUUUAACAAAAUUUUAAUUACACAGUACUUUAUAUAUAUGUAUAUGUUCCCAAUUAAAUAUUGUAUUAAUAAAAAACAUAUAUCACUGUUAAUAUAUAUAUAUAUAUAUAUAUAUAUAUAUAUAUAUAUAUAUAUAUAUAUAUAUAUAUAUAUACAUAUAUAUUAACAGUGUUUUAAUUGAAAUAAACACAUUAAAAAUACGCUUUACAAGCAGUAAGUCAAAACCAAACAGUCACAAAGUGUUCUUUUUUCAUACAAAUAUGAAAUCUAUACAACAAAUGAACUUUGAAGGAGGGUUUAGGAAUCUAACAAAGAAUGCCUUUUGGACAAAAAAAACAAAUGAUGAAAAAAAAGAUAAUGGAAGAACUAAUUUAAAUAAACAAAGAGGGAUGACAACAAAACCUCAUGCUGGUGUGGUAAAUAACAAUUUUCAAUUUUUAGAUUCCAAACAUUUAGAAAUGUUAGAUUUAAAUAAAAAUAUUGUAAAUAUGUUACCAAAACCAAUGAAGCCAUUAAUAAAUUUGGAAAACUUAUGCAAAGAAACUACUGAAGCUGCUAUACAGAAUAGAAGUAAACUAACAGGUUUAAAUGCACAGAAGAGUGGAAUCCGAGAGCAAAGAGAUCAGUUAAAACAAGAAACAUAUAAUUACGUAAACAAUAUUUAUACAUUAGAAAAUCAAGGAAAUAAUAUAGGUACAUAUAUUCAACCAUUAUAUAAUAGCAAAAGUUUUGAUGUGAAAGGAAAUGCACCCAAUCAAUUUUCUCCUUUUGGAUCUGCAUCUCCUUUUUUUUUUUUUUUUCUAUUUUAUUUUUUUUUUUUUUUUGUGUAAAGCUUUUUAAAAUCUUUAAUACAUAUAUAUAUAUAUAUAUAUAUGUAUUUUUCUGCAAUUUAUUAAAAAAAAAAAUUAACAUAAACAUUUUUAGUUACUGUAAGUUGACAAUAAAAGAAAAAAUUUCACCUAAUAUAUUAUUUAU
This 1408-nucleotide long non-coding RNA is filed under the name Piliocolobus tephrosceles (Ugandan red Colobus). RNAcentral's name for it is "lncRNA (ENSPTEG00000010432.1)". The record is from RNAcentral. Lineage: Eukaryota; Metazoa; Chordata; Mammalia; Primates; Cercopithecidae.